This 460-nucleotide ribosomal RNA is filed under the name uncultured bacterium. RNAcentral describes it as "partial 16S ribosomal RNA". It matches the Rfam family "Bacterial small subunit ribosomal RNA", at positions 338 to 795 of the family's 1533-position model. The record is from RNAcentral.
CCUACGGGUGGCAGCAGUGAGGAAUAUUGGUCAAUGUGCGAGAGCCUGAACCAGCCAAGUAGCGUGAAGGAUGAAGGACCUACGGUUUGUAAACUUCUUUUAUAUGGGAAUAAAGUGAGGCACGUGUGCCUUUUUGUAUGUACUUUAUGAAUAAGCAUCGGCUAACUCCGUGCCAGCAGCCGCGGUAAUACGGAGGAUGCGAGCGUUAUCCGGAUUUAUUGGGUUUAAAGGGAGCGUAGAUGGUUAGUUAAGUCAGCUGUGAAAGUUUGCGGCUCAACCGUAAAAUUGCAAUUGAUACUGGUAGUCUUGAGUAUAGUUGAGGUAGGCGGAAUGCGUGGUGUAGCGGUGAAAUGCUUAGAUAUCACGAAGAACUCCGAUUGCGAAGGCAGCUUACUAAACUGCAACUGACACUGAUGCUCGAAAGUGUGGGGAUCAAACAGGAUUAGAUACCCUUGUAGUC